AUGCCGCGUGUGUGAAGAAGGCUUUCGGGUUGUAAAGCACUUUCAGUGAGGAAGAAAGCCUUGGGGCUAAUACCCCCAAGGGACGACAUCACUCACAGAAGAAGCACCGGCUAACUCCGUGCCAGCAGCCGCGGUAAUACGGAGGGUGCGAGCGUUAAUCGGAAUUACUGGGCGUAAAGCGCGCGUAGGUGGCUUGAUAAGCCGGUUGUGAAAGCCCCGGGCUCAACCUGGGAACGGCAUCCGGAACUGUCAGGCUAGAGUGCAGGAGAGGAAGGUAGAAUUCCCGGUGUAGCGGUGAAAUGCGUAGAGAUCGGGAGGAAUACCAGUGGCGAAGGCGGCCUUCUGGACUGACACUGACACUGAGGUGCGAAAGCGUGGGUAGCAAACAGGAUUAGAUACCCUGGUAGUCCACGCCGUAAACGAUGUCGACUAGCCGUUGGGGUCCUUGAGACCUUUGUGGCGCAGUUAACGCGAUAAGUCGACCGCCUGGGGAGUACGGCCGCAAGGUUAAAACUCAAAG
RNAcentral lists this ribosomal RNA (520 nucleotides) under Halomonas alimentaria. RNAcentral describes it as "bacterial SSU rRNA". It matches the Rfam family "Bacterial small subunit ribosomal RNA", at positions 394 to 906 of the family's 1533-position model. Lineage: Bacteria; Pseudomonadati; Pseudomonadota; Gammaproteobacteria; Oceanospirillales; Halomonadaceae. The record is from RNAcentral.